RNAcentral lists this ribosomal RNA (409 nucleotides) under uncultured bacterium. Its description in RNAcentral is "bacterial SSU rRNA". It matches the Rfam family "Bacterial small subunit ribosomal RNA", at positions 505 to 916 of the family's 1533-position model. The record is from RNAcentral.
GUGCCAGCCGCCGCGGUAAUACGUAGGUGGCAAGCGUUGUCCGGAUUUAUUGGGUUUAAAGGGUGCGUAGGUGGUCUAUUAAGUCAGUGCUGAAAUAUCCCGGCUUAACCGGGAGGGUGGCAUUGAUACUGAUGGACUUGAGUAAAGUUGAGGUAGGCGGAAUUGACGGUGUAGCGGUGAAAUGCUUAGAUAUCGUCAAGAACACCUAUAGCGAAGGCAGCUUACUAAGCUUUAACUGACGCUGAGGCACGAAAGUGUGGGGAUCAAACAGGAUUAGAUACCCUGGUAGUCCACACUGUAAACGUUGAUGACUCGCUGUUGGCGAUACACAGUCAGCGGCUUAGAGAAAUCGUUAAGUCAUCCACCUGGGGAGUACGCCGGCAACGGUGAAACUCAAAGGAAUUGACGG